AAGUCGUAACAAGGUUUCCGUAGGUGAACCUGCGGAAGGAUCAUUAUUGAAUGAAAUUGAGUGGGGUUGUCGCUGGGCCUUUUCACCGGGCAUGUGCACACCUCAUUCAACCUCUCUACACCUCUGUGCACUUCUCAUGGGUUGGGCUGCGUCUGAAAUAUUGACAUGGCCCCUCUCAUGUGUUUUAUACAAACUAUACAUGUCCUAGAAUGUCUAUACAAUGCGUAAAAGCAUAUAAUACAA
RNAcentral lists this unclassified non-coding RNA (243 nucleotides) under plant metagenome. RNAcentral's name for it is "partial contains small subunit ribosomal RNA and internal transcribed spacer 1". The stretch from base 1 to 46 matches the Rfam family "Eukaryotic small subunit ribosomal RNA", at positions 1786 to 1831 of the family's 1831-position model. The record is from RNAcentral.